GAGAAGCUGGCACACGUGGUUUUGUGUGCUGUGCUGUGAGUGUUGCUGCAGGCAGCUGAGCAGGGAGCAUGUAAAAGCUGGAAAACCACUACAUGGAUUAACCAGCUGCAUUCUCAAAACAAAGACGACAACCAUGUUUUACAAACAGCAGAAACACCCAUCCCUCCAUUAAAAAACCAUCCUUUUAAUGCUGCUCAAGAGACCAUGCCAGUGUCACAACCCUAUGAAGUCCUGUUGUGCCAUAAAGGUCUGAGCAGCUGGGAACAAACAAGCAGCCUCCCAUCCAUUCCUUAGGGAAGGU
Long non-coding RNA from Microtus oregoni (creeping vole), 301 nucleotides. RefSeq lists it as uncharacterized. The transcript is spliced from 3 exons. Lineage: Eukaryota; Metazoa; Chordata; Mammalia; Rodentia; Cricetidae. The record is from RefSeq and is a predicted model, not a curated record.